This 397-nucleotide ribosomal RNA is filed under the name uncultured Halobacteria archaeon. RNAcentral describes it as "bacterial SSU rRNA". It matches the Rfam family "Archaeal small subunit ribosomal RNA", at positions 63 to 461 of the family's 1478-position model. The record is from RNAcentral. Lineage: Archaea; Methanobacteriati; Methanobacteriota; Halobacteria.
CGAGUUCAGACUCGUGGCGAAUAGCUCAGUAACACGUGGCCAAACUACCCUUCGGACCACAAUACCCUCGGGAAANUGAGGCUAAUAGUGGAUACCACAGUUCACCUGGAAUGAGAACUGUGCCAAACGCUCCGGCGCCGAAGGAUGUGGCUGCGGCCGAUUAGGUAGACGGNGGGGUAACGGCCCACCGUGCCAAUAAUCGGUACGGGUCAUGAGAGUGAGAACCCGGAGACGGAAUCUGAGACAAGAUUCCGGGCCCUACGGGGCGCAGCAGGCGCGAAACCUUUACNCUGCACGACAGUGCGAUAAGGGAAUCCCANGUGCGUAGGCNUAGAGCCUACGCUUUUGUCCACCGUAGGGAGGGGGACGAAUAAGGGCUGGGCAAGACCGGUGCCAG